RNAcentral lists this ribosomal RNA (249 nucleotides) under uncultured bacterium. Its description in RNAcentral is "partial 16S ribosomal RNA". It matches the Rfam family "Bacterial small subunit ribosomal RNA", at positions 57 to 305 of the family's 1533-position model. The record is from RNAcentral.
GCAAGUCGAGGGGCAGCAUUUACUUCGGUAAGAUGGCGACCGGCGAACGGGUGCGUAACGCGUAUGCAACCUACCUUAUACAAAAGGAUAGCCCAUGUAAACGUGGAUUAAUACUUUAUAGUACUAUAAAACUGCAUAGUUUAAUAGUUAAAAUUUCGAUGGUAUAAGAUGGGCAUGCGUAGGAUUAGCUAGAUGGUGAGGUAACGGCUCACCAUGGCCACGAUCCUUAGGGGUUCUGAGAGGAUGAUC